Molecule: ribosomal RNA, 492 nt
Filed under: uncultured bacterium
Lineage: Bacteria
Description: partial 16S ribosomal RNA
Rfam family: Bacterial small subunit ribosomal RNA
Source: RNAcentral
AGUGAACGCUGGCGGUAGGCCUAACACAUGCAAGUCGAACGGCAGCACAGUAAGAGCUUGCUCUUACGGGUGGCGAGUGGCGGACGGGUGAGGAAUACAUCGGAAUCUACUUUUUCGUGGGGGAUAACGUAGGGAAACUUACGCUAAUACCGCAUACGACCUACGGGUGAAAGCAGGGGAUCUUCGCACCUUGCGCGAUUGAAUGAGCCGCUGUCGGAUUAGCUAGUUGGCGGGGUAAAGGCCCACCAAGGCGACGAUCCGUAGCUGGUGUGAGAGGAUGAUCGGCCACACUGGAACUGGGACACGGUCCAUGCUCCUGCGGGAGGCAGCAGUGUGGAAUAUUGGACAAUGGGCGCGAGCCUGAUCCAGCCAUACCGCGUGUGUUAAGAAGGCCUUCGGGUUGUAAUGCCCUUUUGUUGGGAAAGAAAAGCAUCAGGUUAAUACCCCGCUGUUCUGACGGUACCCAAAGAAUAAGCACCGGCUAACUUCGUG